RNAcentral lists this ribosomal RNA (483 nucleotides) under uncultured bacterium. RNAcentral's name for it is "bacterial SSU rRNA". It matches the Rfam family "Bacterial small subunit ribosomal RNA", at positions 30 to 530 of the family's 1533-position model. The record is from RNAcentral.
AUUGAACGCUGGCGGCAUGCCUUACACAUGCAAGUCGAACGGUAACGCGGGGCAACCUGGCGACGAGUGGCGAACGGGUGAGUAAUAUAUCGGAACGUGCCCAAUAGUGGGGGAUAGCCCGGCGAAAGCCGGAUUAAUACCGCAUACGACCUGAGGGUGAAAGACGGGGGAGUCGCAAGACCUUGCGCUGAUUGAGCGGCCGAUAUCAGAUUAGCUAGUUGGUGAGGUAAAGGCUCACCAAGGCGACGAUCUGUAGCGGGUCUGAGAGGAUGAUCCGCCACACUGGGACUGAGACACGGCCCAGACUCCUACGGGAGGCAGCAGUGGGGAAUUUUGGACAAUGGGCGCAAGCCUGAUCCAGCCAUGCCGCGUGAGUGAUGAAGGCCUUAGGGUUGUAAAGCUCUUUUACCAGGGAUGAUAAUGACAGUACCUGGAGAAUAAGCUCCGGCUAACUCCGUGCCAGCAGCCGCGGUAAAUGCGACG